AGUGAACGCUGGCGGUAGGCCUAACACAUGCAAGUCGAACGGCAGCACAGUAAGAGCUUGCUCUUACGGGUGGCGAGUGGCGGACGGGUGAGGAAUACAUCGGAAUCUACUUUUUCGUGGGGGAUAACGUAGGGAAACUUACGCUAAUACCGCAUACGACCUACGGGUGAAAGCAGGGGAUCUUCGGACCUUGCGCGAUUGAAUGAGCCGAUGUGGGAUUAGCUAGUUGGCGGGGUAAAGGCCCACCAAGGCGACGAUCCGUAGCUGGUCUGAGAGGAUGGUCAGCCACACUGGAACUGAGACACGGUCCAGACUCCUACGGGAGGCAGCAGUGGGGAAUAUUGGACAAAGGGCGCGAGCCUGAUCCAGCCAUAGCGCGUGGGUGAAGAAGGCCUUCGGGUUGUAAAGCCCUUUUGUUGGGAAAGAAAAGCAGCAGGUUAAUACCCCGCUGUUCUGACGGUACCCAAAGAAUAAGCACCGGCUAACUUCGUG
This 492-nucleotide ribosomal RNA is filed under the name uncultured bacterium. RNAcentral's name for it is "partial 16S ribosomal RNA". It matches the Rfam family "Bacterial small subunit ribosomal RNA", at positions 29 to 507 of the family's 1533-position model. The record is from RNAcentral.